AUUGAACGCUGGCGGCAGGCCUAACACAUGCAAGUCGAACGGUAACAGGAAGCAGCUUGCUGCUUCGCUGACGAGUGGCGGACGGGUGAGUAAUGUCUGGGAAACUGCCUGAUGGAGGGGGAUAACUACUGGAAACGGUAGCUAAUACCGCAUAACGUCGCAAGACCAAAGAGGGGGACCUUAGGGCCUCUUGCCAUCGGAUGUGCCCAGAUGGGAUUAGCUAGUAGGUGGGGUAACGGCUCACCUAGGCGACGAUCCCUAGCUGGUCUGAGAGGAUGACCAGCCACACUGGAACUGAGACACGGUCCAGACUCCUACGGGAGGCAGCAGUGGGGAAUAUUGCACAAUGGGCGCAAGCCUGAUGCAGCCAUGCCGCGUGUAUGAAGAAGGCCUUCGGGUUGUAAAGUACUUUCAGCGGGGAGGAAGGGAGUAAAGUUAAUACCUUUGCUCAUUGUCGUUACCCGCAGAAGAAGCACCGGCUAACUCCGUG
Molecule: ribosomal RNA, 490 nt
Filed under: uncultured bacterium
Lineage: Bacteria
Description: partial 16S ribosomal RNA
Rfam family: Bacterial small subunit ribosomal RNA
Source: RNAcentral